RNAcentral lists this ribosomal RNA (375 nucleotides) under Triticum aestivum (bread wheat). RNAcentral describes it as "partial small subunit ribosomal RNA". Lineage: Eukaryota; Viridiplantae; Streptophyta; Magnoliopsida; Poales; Poaceae. The record is from RNAcentral.
AUGAUCUAUUACCCAGACCAAUCUCAUCUACCCACCCAACAAACGGCAACCCCGCGGCAUCAGAGGAGCAUGACGAUGUCGACUGUGGCGGCGGUGCUAGACUGUGAGGCGGCGACUUGCCGGACCAGAUGGUGCGGAGCCUGCUGGAGCCGGAGAGUCUUCAUCAGUAGCAAGACCACCUGCAGCUCCUUCAUCUCCAUCCUCCUAGCCGUCGUCCGCUUGUUCAUGCAUGUCAUCUCCACGGAUUCCGCAAGUACCACAUCCUCGCCAAGGGCAUCUCCAACCUCAACACCAUGGUAUUUUUUUUCUCCCCUCUCUCUUUUCUUCCCGCCGGUUCAGUCGAUCGGGCCAGCUUGUUGUUUAUUUGCAAGAUAG